Molecule: unclassified non-coding RNA, 205 nt
Filed under: Hevea brasiliensis (rubber tree)
Lineage: Eukaryota; Viridiplantae; Streptophyta; Magnoliopsida; Malpighiales; Euphorbiaceae
Source: RNAcentral
AACAGGGGAUUUUAUCAUUCAAACGGUGAACUCAACCUUCUUGGACAUGUAAGCACAGGAUUACAUUUUAACUAAUCUUCCAAAUGUGUACUUGUUUCAAUAUUGGUACUCUAGUUCUCUUGUUUCUUGAUUGAAAUUGCAACACCAUAGACCAAGAAUAUUGAAAUUGGCAUUUUUGCAGGCAUGGAGACUAUGGAAAGAAGGA